GAUGAACGCUGGCGGCGUGCCUAAUACAUGCAAGUCGAGCGAACAGAUGAGAAGCUUGCUUCUCUGAUGUUAGCGGCGGACGGGUGAGUAACACGUGGGUAACCUACCUAUAAGACUGGGAUAACUCCGGGAAACCGGGGCUAAUACCGGAUAAUAUUUUGAACCGCAUGGUUCAAUAGUGAAAGACGGUUUCAGCUGUCACUUAUAGAUGGACCCGCGCCGUAUUAGCUAGUUGGUAAGGUAACGGCUUACCAAGGCGACGAUACGUAGCCGACCUGGGAGGGUGAGCGGCCACACUGGAACUGAGACACGGUCCAGACUCCUACGGGAGGCAGCAGUAGGGAAUCUUCCGCAAUGGGCGAAAGCCUGACGGAGCAACGCCGCGUGAGUGAUGAAGGUCUUCGGAUCGUAAAACUCUGUUGUUAGGGAAGAACAAAUUUGUUAGUAACUGAACAAGUCUUGACGGUACCUAACCAGAAAGCCACGGCUAACUACGUGCCAGCAGCCGCCGUAA
RNAcentral lists this ribosomal RNA (514 nucleotides) under uncultured bacterium. Its description in RNAcentral is "partial 16S ribosomal RNA". It matches the Rfam family "Bacterial small subunit ribosomal RNA", at positions 28 to 523 of the family's 1533-position model. The record is from RNAcentral.